Molecule: RNA transcript, 1131 nt
Organism: Dipodomys ordii (Ord's kangaroo rat)
Lineage: Eukaryota; Metazoa; Chordata; Mammalia; Rodentia; Heteromyidae
Gene name: high mobility group protein B1 pseudogene
Exons: 1
Source: RefSeq, a predicted model, not a curated record
UGCAGUACCUUGAGCUCCAUAGAGACAGCACAGGGGCAAGUGAGAGCCGGACAGGCACCGAGCGACUCUGUGCCUCGCGGAGGAAAAACUAAACAUGGGCAAAGGAGAUCCUAAGAAGCCGAGAGGCAAAAUGUCAUCAUAUGCAUUCUUUGUGCAAACUUGCUGGGAGGAGCACAAGAAGAAGCACCCGGAUGCUUCCGUCAACUUCUCAGAGUUUUCUAAGAAGUGUUCAGAGAGGUGGAAGACUAUGUCUGCUAAAGAGAAAGGGAAAUUUGAAGAUAUGGCCAAGGCAGACAAGGCCCGUUAUGAAAGAGAAAUGAAAACCUACAUCCCUCCUAAAUGGGAAACAAAAAAGAAGUUCAAGGAUCCCAAUGCACCCAAGUGGCCUCUUUCGGCCUUCUUCUUGUUCUGAGUAUCGCCCUAAAAUCAAAGGGGAACAUCCUGGCCUGUCUAUUGGUGAUGUUGCAAAAAAACUGGGAGAGAUGUGGAACAACACUGCUGCAGAUGACAAGCAGCCUUAUGAAAAGAAGGCUGCGAAGCUGAAGGAAAAAUAUGAAAAGGAUAUUGCUGCCUACCGAGCUAAAGGAAAGCUUGAUGCAGCAAAAAAAGGAGUUGUGAAGGCUGAAAAGAGCAAGAAGAAGAAGGAAGAGGAGGAAGAUGAGGAAGAUGAAGAGGACGAAGAAGAGGAGGAAGAUGAAGAGGAUGAGGAUGAAGAUGAAGAGGAUGAUGAUGAAUAAGUUGGUUCUAGCGCAGUUUUUUUUCUUGUCUAUAAAGCAUUUAACCCCCCUGUACACAACUCACUCCUUUUAAAGAAAAAAAAAAUUGAAAUGUAAGGCUGUGUAAGAUUUGUUUUUAAACUGUACAGUGUCUUUUUUUGUAUAGUUAACACACUACCGAAUGUGUCUUUAGAUAGCCCUGUCCUGGUGGUAUUUUCAAUAGCCACUAACCUUGCCUGGUACAGUAUGGGGGUUGUAAAUUGGCAUGGAAAUUUAAAGCAGGCUCUUGUUGGUGCACAGCACAAAUUAGUUAUAUAUGGGGACGGUAGUUUUUUCAUCUUCAGUUGUCUGACGCAGCUUAUACGAAAUAAUUGUUCUGUUAACUGAAUACCACUCUGUAAUUGCAAAAAAAAAA